AAUAGAUACCCGGGUAGUCCACGCCGUAAACGAUGAGUGCUAAGUGUUAGGGGGUUUCCGCCCCUUAGUGCUGCAGCUAACGCAUUAAGCACUCCGCCUGGGGAGUACGGUCGCAAGACUGAAACUCAAAGGAAUUGACGGGGGCCCGCACAAGCGGUGGAGCAUGUGGUUUAAUUCGAAGCAACGCGAAGAACCUUACCAGGUCUUGACAUCCCAUUGACCACUAUGGAGACAUAGUUUUCCCUUCGGGGACAACGGUGACAGGUGGUGCAUGGUUGUCGUCAGCUCGUGUCGUGAGAUGUUGGGUUAAGUCCCGCAACGAGCGCAACCCUUGUUCUUAGUUGCCAUCAUUUAGUUGGGCACUCUAAGGAGACUGCCGGUGACAAACCGGAGGAAGGUGGGGAUGACGUCAAAUCAUCAUGCCCCCUUAUGACCUGGGCUACACACGUGCUACAAUGGACGGUACAAACGGUUGCCAACCCGCGAGGGGGAGCUAAUCCGAUAAAACCGUUCUCAGUUCGGAUUGUAGGCUGCAACUCGCCUACAUGAAGCC
This 553-nucleotide ribosomal RNA is filed under the name uncultured bacterium. RNAcentral's name for it is "bacterial SSU rRNA". It matches the Rfam family "Bacterial small subunit ribosomal RNA", at positions 777 to 1327 of the family's 1533-position model. The record is from RNAcentral.